Molecule: transfer RNA, 73 nt
Filed under: Treponema sp.
Lineage: Bacteria; Pseudomonadati; Spirochaetota; Spirochaetia; Treponematales; Treponemataceae
Also listed under: 1 other name
Description: tRNA-Met
Rfam family: tRNA
About the family: Transfer RNA (tRNA) molecules are approximately 80 nucleotides in length. Their secondary structure includes four short double-helical elements and three loops (D, anti-codon, and T loops). Further hydrogen bonds mediate the characteristic L-shaped molecular structure. tRNAs have two regions of fundamental functional importance: the anti-codon, which is responsible for specific mRNA codon recognition, and the 3' end, to which the tRNAs corresponding amino acid is attached (by aminoacyl-tRNA synthetases). tRNAs cope with the degeneracy of the genetic code in two manners: having more than one tRNA (with a specific anti-codon) for a particular amino acid; and 'wobble' base-pairing, i.e. permitting non-standard base-pairing at the 3rd anti-codon position.
Source: RNAcentral
CGCGAGGUAGAGCAGUUGGCAGCUCGUCGGGCUCAUAACCCGGAGGCCGCAGGUCCGAGUCCUGCCCUCGCUA